RNAcentral lists this unclassified non-coding RNA (21 nucleotides) under Mus musculus (house mouse). RNAcentral's name for it is "oocyte_clustered_small_RNA3496". Lineage: Eukaryota; Metazoa; Chordata; Mammalia; Rodentia; Muridae. The record is from RNAcentral.
CAGGAGUUAGUGCCAUGUCAG